RNAcentral lists this unclassified non-coding RNA (288 nucleotides) under rhizosphere metagenome. RNAcentral's name for it is "partial ribosomal RNA internal transcribed spacer region". The record is from RNAcentral.
GUAGGUGAACCUGCGGAAGGAUCAUUAUUGAAUAAACUUGGGUAGGUUGUUGCUGGCUCUUAGGAGCAUGUGCACGCCGACUCCAUUUUUAACCACCUGUGCACCUUGCGUAGAUCUGAUACUCUCGAGGAAACUCGGUUUGAGAAUUGCUGUGCAACAAAAGGCCAGCUCUUCUUGUAUUCAGGUCUAUGUUUCUACAUACCCCACAUGAAUGUAUUUUGAAUGUCGUCAUUGGCCUUGUGCCUUUAAAAACAAAUACAACUUUCAACAACGGAUCUCUUGGCUCUC